RNAcentral lists this ribosomal RNA (1833 nucleotides) under Escherichia coli. RNAcentral describes it as "partial 23S ribosomal RNA". It matches the Rfam family "Bacterial large subunit ribosomal RNA", at positions 418 to 2236 of the family's 2925-position model. Lineage: Bacteria; Pseudomonadati; Pseudomonadota; Gammaproteobacteria; Enterobacterales; Enterobacteriaceae. The record is from RNAcentral.
CGGGACACGUGGUAUCCUGUCUGAAUAUGGGGGGACCAUCCUCCAAGGCUAAAUACUCCUGACUGACCGAUAGUGAACCAGUACCGUGAGGGAAAGGCGAAAAGAACCCCGGCGAGGGGAGUGAAAAAGAACCUGAAACCGUGUACGUACAAGCAGUGGGAGCACGCUUAGGCGUGUGACUGCGUACCUUUUGUAUAAUGGGUCAGCGACUUAUAUUCUGUAGCAAGGUUAACCGAAUAGGGGAGCCGAAGGGAAACCGAGUCUUAACUGGGCGUUAAGUUGCAGGGUAUAGACCCGAAACCCGGUGAUCUAGCCAUGGGCAGGUUGAAGGUUGGGUAACACUAACUGGAGGACCGAACCGACUAAUGUUGAAAAAUUAGCGGAUGACUUGUGGCUGGGGGUGAAAGGCCAAUCAAACCGGGAGAUAGCUGGUUCUCCCCGAAAGCUAUUUAGGUAGCGCCUCGUGAAUUCAUCUCCGGGGGUAGAGCACUGUUUCGGCAAGGGGGUCAUCCCGACUUACCAACCCGAUGCAAACUGCGAAUACCGGAGAAUGUUAUCACGGGAGACACACGGCGGGUGCUAACGUCCGUCGUGAAGAGGGAAACAACCCAGACCGCCAGCUAAGGUCCCAAAGUCAUGGUUAAGUGGGAAACGAUGUGGGAAGGCCCAGACAGCCAGGAUGUUGGCUUAGAAGCAGCCAUCAUUUAAAGAAAGCGUAAUAGCUCACUGGUCGAGUCGGCCUGCGCGGAAGAUGUAACGGGGCUAAACCAUGCACCGAAGCUGCGGCAGCGACGCUGAUGCGUUGUUGGGUAGGGGAGCGUUCUGUAAGCCUGUGAAGGUGUGCUGUGAGGCAUGCUGGAGGUAUCAGAAGUGCGAAUGCUGACAUAAGUAACGAUAAAGCGGGUGAAAAGCCCGCUCGCCGGAAGACCAAGGGUUCCUGUCCAACGUUAAUCGGGGCAGGGUGAGUCGACCCCUAAGGCGAGGCCGAAAGGCGUAGUCGAUGGGAAACAGGUUAAUAUUCCUGUACUUGGUGUUACUGCGAAGGGGGGACGGAGAAGGCUAUGUUGGCCGGGCGACGGUUGUCCCGGUUUAAGCGUGUAGGCUGGUUUUCCAGGCAAAUCCGGAAAAUCAAGGCUGAGGCGUGAUGACGAGGCACUACGGUGCUGAAGCAACAAAUGCCCUGCUUCCAGGAAAAGCCUCUAAGCAUCAGGUAACAUCAAAUCGUACCCCAAACCGACACAGGUGGUCAGGUAGAGAAUACCAAGGCGCUUGAGAGAACUCGGGUGAAGGAACUAGGCAAAAUGGUGCCGUAACUUCGGGAGAAGGCACGCUGAUAUGUAGGUGAAGCGACUUGCUCGUGGAGCUGAAAUCAGUCGAAGAUACCAGCUGGCUGCAACUGUUUAUUAAAAACACAGCACUGUGCAAACACGAAAGUGGACGUAUACGGUGUGACGCCUGCCCGGUGCCGGAAGGUUAAUUGAUGGGGUCAGCGCAAGCGAAGCUCUUGAUCGAAGCCCCGGUAAACGGCGGCCGUAACUAUAACGGUCCUAAGGUAGCGAAAUUCCUUGUCGGGUAAGUUCCGACCUGCACGAAUGGCGUAAUGAUGGCCAGGCUGUCUCCACCCGAGACUCAGUGAAAUUGAACUCGCUGUGAAGAUGCAGUGUACCCGCGGCAAGACGGAAAGACCCCGUGAACCUUUACUAUAGCUUGACACUGAACAUUGAGCCUUGAUGUGUAGGAUAGGUGGGAGGCUUUGAAGUGUGGACGCCAGUCUGCAUGGAGCCGACCUUGAAAUACCACCCUUUAAUGUUUGAUGUUCUAACGUUGACCCGU